This 2144-nucleotide long non-coding RNA is filed under the name Chinchilla lanigera (long-tailed chinchilla). RNAcentral describes it as "lncRNA (ENSCLAG00000029167.1)". The record is from RNAcentral. Lineage: Eukaryota; Metazoa; Chordata; Mammalia; Rodentia; Chinchillidae.
GCCCCCCUCUGAGCAGAUGAGGAUCACGGAUCAGAGCCCCAACUUCAGAGCUCCUUAUGGUCGAGAAGAAACUAGUCAGCAGCAAUUCCAGUCCUUUGGCUCCGGGCGAAACCGAGCAAGACCCAGCCUCGUGUCGUCGGGGAGGAACCAACGCAGGCCCCGCCCCAACCAUUGUCUCGGGGAAGCCAAUGGGCGAAACGCUCGUAACUAACCAAUCAGGACGCGGUAUGCAAAUAGACACGCGAGAGCAGUCCUCUACGGUGGUGUAGAACUGAAGAGAGAGGAGGCAAGCAGCGGGCCUGGCUACUUGCACCAUGGCCCGCUGCCGCCACCACUCGGGAUACCUGGCGGAUGACGAGGCUGGCCACAGCACGUACAUGGCGCGGGUACCACCACCCAAGAAGCCACUGUUGCCAGAAAUGGGACCAGCCUUCAAGCUGGGUCGUGUGCCACACCCCCCAUCAGUGGAUGGCAAUUCAGCACACCGGGGCCGCUGCCAAACCCCGAAGAGACCUCAGCCUUUUGGCGGCUUCCUAGAUUUCCUGACAGAGGGCCAAGUACUGGACAGUCUGCAGACAGUGGUGGAAGAAGCAACUGAACGCAUAGCCACCAUGAAGACAGAGGCUGGGGUGCCGCUGGUGGAGGUGCAGGACUCUGUAGAAGUGCCAAGUGGAAAGCGGCAGGGCCGGGACAGUGACCUAGGCCACCGAGGCUUAGGCACACUGCCACCCAUGAAAAACAGACUCCUGCUGGAGAAAAACCUCAAGCGGCUGCUACAGCUGGAGAACAAAGGGAAAGGCUGGAGUCAGUCCUGUUCCCAGAGGGACUCCCUGCUGUGGAACUCACUAGGCAGCCAGACCGGCAGCCACUGGACCCAGGAGCAGCCCCUGUCCUGGUUCUCAGGGCUGCUGGGCUCCAGCUCAGGGACCCCUGAAGCAUCAGAGCUGGGGCCUGGAGAACGGGAGCUGAUUUUCCUCAAAGAAAAGUUCAACAAGAAGUCCUUGCUGAGCCAGCCAGCGCCAUUUAACCUGCCCGGCUACUGUGCUGUCCGUGAGCCCCACCGUACCCUGGACUUCCUGGCCAAGCACCAUCUCUUCCCUGCUCUGCAGGGCGUGGUCAGCCAGGCUUCAGACAAACUCAGGGCAGCCCACUGCCAUGAUGGCUUCCCUCUCUUCCCCACCAACUCCCAGCUCACCUCAGCAGAGCUGCCAGCCACGCUCACUCAGGGGAAGGAGACUUGUGAUGCCAACAGCAAGUUACCUCACAAAGGACUGAACUCCCCUUCUGUGUCUAAUGCCCAAGAGGCCAACAGAGUCAAGCUCAAGAACUCCAGCGCAAAGAAGCUGCCACCUUCCGCCUCAUCCAAGUCCAGUGUGUCCCACCUGUCCAACCCCUGUUUUGAGGAGAUCAUCAACUUCUUAGUGGAGCAGGCAGUGUCCUUGCUCACUCUCAAGUACAAGUAUGAGAGCAACCUCAAUAAGCAGCUUGGCUUCAUCUCCUUCCCUGUCACCGAGGCUCUCAUGGACCUCUUCCUGGGCUUCAAGAAGGUGAAGGGCUCCCGCAUAGUUCUGUCCUCGGAGAUGGACUGGAGCUGCCUGCUGCGUAAGCUGCAGGAGGCCGAGAAGGCUCUGCAGGUCUCAAAGCAGGCCACCCAGGCGCACGGCUCCCAGGGCAGCAGCAGCUCCUCGAAGGCUGGCUCCCACCGGGUUCCCACCUCCCUGCAGGGAGUCUCCCAGCACAGCACAAAGUCUCCAUCCACUGAGCCUAUGCCAGCGACCAGAAGCAACCAGGAACAGGCCGCAGAGCGUGGCCUCUCUCUCACUGCUGACACACCAACCCACCAGCUGCUCAGCCCUUGGGAGUCAAUUACAGCCGAGAAUCAGGCCCCCAAAAGCCUGUCACAGCCCACGCCCUUCAUGUCCUCUGACCCGGACAUGGGCUCCAAUCUCCCCAAGUCCAACAAGAUGAUGAACACUGAGGACAAAGAGAGUAAUGCUGUGGCUGAGGACAAGGGUAGCAAGGAGGACAAAGCUGGGGGCAUGGAUUCCUACAAGGAUGAGAGGAAUCACCAGGACCACUUGGAGCCUGGACAGGAGGCCAUGAGCAGACCCUCUGUGGACCAGGGCCAUAGUGAUCCCCCAUGA